RNAcentral lists this ribosomal RNA (253 nucleotides) under uncultured bacterium. Its description in RNAcentral is "partial 16S ribosomal RNA". It matches the Rfam family "Bacterial small subunit ribosomal RNA", at positions 524 to 776 of the family's 1533-position model. The record is from RNAcentral.
UACGAAGGGUGCAAGCGUUACUCGGAAUUACUGGGCGUAAAGCGUGCGUAGGCGGUUUGUUAAGUCUGCUGUGAAAGCCCCGGGCUCAACCUGGGAACGGCAGUGGAUACUGGUAAGCUAGAGUGUGUCAGAGGAUGGUGGAAUUCCCGGUGUAGCGGUGAAAUGCGUAGAGAUCGGGAGGAACAUCAGUGGCGAAGGCGGCCAUCUGGGACAACACUGACGCUGAGGCACGAAAGCGUGGGGAGCAAACAGG